GUGUAGCUCAGUGGUAGAGCUAGUGCUUCAUAUGCAUAAGACCCUGGAUUCAAUCCCCAGCAC
This 63-nucleotide transfer RNA is filed under the name Heterocephalus glaber (naked mole-rat). It matches the Rfam family "tRNA", at positions 5 to 66 of the family's 71-position model. From Rfam's summary of the family: Transfer RNA (tRNA) molecules are approximately 80 nucleotides in length. Their secondary structure includes four short double-helical elements and three loops (D, anti-codon, and T loops). Further hydrogen bonds mediate the characteristic L-shaped molecular structure. tRNAs have two regions of fundamental functional importance: the anti-codon, which is responsible for specific mRNA codon recognition, and the 3' end, to which the tRNAs corresponding amino acid is attached (by aminoacyl-tRNA synthetases). tRNAs cope with the degeneracy of the genetic code in two manners: having more than one tRNA (with a specific anti-codon) for a particular amino acid; and 'wobble' base-pairing, i.e. permitting non-standard base-pairing at the 3rd anti-codon position. Lineage: Eukaryota; Metazoa; Chordata; Mammalia; Rodentia; Bathyergidae. The record is from Rfam by way of RNAcentral.